AGCGGGGUGGAGAAGUGGUAUCUCGGGAGGCUCAUAACCUCCAGACCCCGGUUCAAGUCCGGGCCCCGCAACAA
This 74-nucleotide transfer RNA is filed under the name bacterium. RNAcentral's name for it is "tRNA-Met". It matches the Rfam family "tRNA". From Rfam's summary of the family: Transfer RNA (tRNA) molecules are approximately 80 nucleotides in length. Their secondary structure includes four short double-helical elements and three loops (D, anti-codon, and T loops). The record is from RNAcentral.